AAAGCGAAAUAAUUAGUUUUCUCGCGCGUUAGUGGCGCCACCACCACCGAACUUGGUACGCUCAUCGAACAGCACUCAUUACACAUGGGGACACAGUUUCAUGGCGGCCGUCAAAGUUGCAUGUUGUCGAGACGACCGCGACACUUCUUGUGGUACCUAGCCUCGUACGCGAAAGGCACGAGUGUUUCAUUAAGGCCCAGGUGGACAGUACGUCUACCCUGUGAUUUGUUUUAGCGGCCAACUACCCUGUCCCGAGCGAACACUGGUGUGCCUCGAAGCGGAGACAAUAGAAGUAUCGAGCUUGAAGGAGGGUGUCAUGACAUUCAUUGCACUUUAUUGGCUGAUGUACAUUGAGUUCAUGCCAAAGUGGGUUUCAAUACUGCAACUGUUCUGCGCUCUAAUGAAUGUUUCCCUGGCUAGACUGAACCCGUAUGUUAAAGCUGCAAUUUCAUCGCUGCGAUAGGUCUUCCAAAUAAAGAUUUGCAACCU
Ornithodoros turicata is the source of this 489-nucleotide long non-coding RNA. RefSeq lists it as uncharacterized. NCBI's taxonomy places the organism in Eukaryota, Metazoa, Arthropoda, Arachnida, Ixodida, Argasidae. The record is from RefSeq and is a predicted model, not a curated record. The transcript has 3 exons.